UAUGCACGCUGGCGGCGUGCCUAAUACAUGCAAGUCGAGCGAACGGACGAGGAGCUUGCUUCUCUGAUGUUAGCGGCGGACGGGUGAGUAACACGUGGAUAACCUACCUAUAAGACUGGGAUAACUUCGGGAAACCGGAGCUAAUACCGGAUAAUAUUUUGAACCGCAUGGUUCAAAAGUGAAAGACGGUUUUGCUGUCACUUAUAGAUGGAUCCGCGCUGCAUUAGCUAGUUGGUAAGGUAACGGCUUACCAAGGCAACGAUGCAUAGCCGACCUGAGAGGGUGAUCGGCCACACUGGAACUGAGACACGGUCCAGACUCCUACGGGAGGCAGCAGUAGGGAAUCUUCCGCAAUGGGCGAAAGCCUGACGGAGCAACGCCGCGUGAGUGAUGAAGGUCUUCGGAUCGUAAAACUCUGUUAUUAGGGAAGAACAUAUGUGUAAGUAACUAUGCACAUCUUGACGGUACCUAAUCAGAAAGCCACGGCUAACUACGUG
This 497-nucleotide ribosomal RNA is filed under the name uncultured bacterium. RNAcentral describes it as "partial 16S ribosomal RNA". It matches the Rfam family "Bacterial small subunit ribosomal RNA", at positions 29 to 507 of the family's 1533-position model. The record is from RNAcentral.